UCUUGUCAUCCAUUUAUGUUUAGCUUAGAGCUUUUGACUCACUAUCAAAUAUUGAAUACAUCAAAUUAAGGUGAUGGAGACACAAAGCACAUCGGUUCUCCCACUGCAAAGCCACGCUCUCUUGAAAUACCUUCCGGUGCAGUUACUGUCGGACGUGUUGCUGAUAAGGCAGAUGUGGUCAUUCCGGUGCCUACAGUAUCUGGUGUACAUGCUCGGUUGCAAAACAUGGAGGAGUAUCUCGUAGUGACAGAUUUAGACAGCACGAAUGGCACAUUCAUUGGUGAGAAGAGGCUCCAACCUGGUGUGGCUGCUGCUGCAUUACCUGGAAGUAUCGUGACAUUUGGGGAUACCAAUUUGGCAAUAUUUCGAGUCGCAAAGCUUGAGAAGUUGGAAACUACUGCAUCUGAUUCUGAACCAGAAGAAGUUGAAGCUAAUACAAAAGAAGAAGAGCCAAGCAGCAGCUAAAAAGUCACAAAUUCCAUUUUUCUGCAAUAAUUUUGUAAACAGAGGAUAUAUAUAUAUAUAUAUAUGUGUGAUUUUGUUGAACUUAUGUUUGUCCAUUUUCUUCUUGACUUGGGUUUAAGUACCCCUUUGUUUUUCUUUCCCACCACUUUGUAUAUUACUUGGUUUUUGUUUCUUUUUCUUCUGUACUAAAAGACUAGUAUGUCAUUAUAUCUUCUGCAGAAAAUGGCCAAAUAUACCCUAAUGUAUUCAAUAUAGAAAAACUUUACCUUCCGUUUCAAAA
Lycium barbarum (goji berry) is the source of this 745-nucleotide long non-coding RNA. RefSeq lists it as uncharacterized. The transcript has 4 exons. NCBI's taxonomy places the organism in Eukaryota, Viridiplantae, Streptophyta, Magnoliopsida, Solanales, Solanaceae. The record is from RefSeq and is a predicted model, not a curated record.